This 3873-nucleotide ribosomal RNA is filed under the name Saksenaea oblongispora B3353. Its description in RNAcentral is "eukaryotic LSU rRNA". It matches the Rfam family "Eukaryotic large subunit ribosomal RNA". Lineage: Eukaryota; Fungi; Mucoromycota; Mucoromycetes; Mucorales; Saksenaeaceae. The record is from RNAcentral.
AACUUUAGUAGUGGAUCUCUAGGCUCUCGCAUCGAUGAAGAACGUAGCAAACUGCGAUAAGUAGUGUGAAUUGCAUCAGUGAAUCAUCGAAUCUUUGAACGCACCUUGCACCCAUUGGUAUUCCAAUGAGUACACCUGUUUCAGUAUGGGAAAGAAAACCACAGUCAACUCAUCUACAUUGGUAUUUGAAUUGGCUGGACUUGGGCUAUUUGUAUAAAACUACCAGUAGCCUUGAAUACAAAAUGUUUAAAUACAUUGAUGCAACAAGCAACUGUUGCAUUGGAGCUGCUAUAGCUAUCUGAAAUCAGGCGAGAGUACCCGCUGAACUUAAGCAUAUCAGUAAGCGGAGGAAAAGAAACUAACAAGGAUUCCCUUAGUAACGGCGAGUGAACAGGGAAGAGCUCAAAGUUGGAAUCUAUCUGGCUUAGCCAGAUCGAAUUGUAAACUUUAGAGUCGUUAUCCAGAUCAGCCGAGUAAAUAAGUUCCUUGGAAUAGGACAUCAUAGAGGGUGAGAAUCCCGUCUUUGGCUUGAGCAAUGAUCUUUUUGUGAUGCGACUUCAACGAGUCGGGUUGUUUGGGAAUGCAGCCUUAAUUGGGUGGUAAAUCUCAUCUAAAGCUAAAUAUUAGCGAGAGACCGAUAGCGAACAAGUACCGUGAGGGAAAGAUGAAAAGAACUCUGGAAAGAGAGUUAAAAGUACGUGAAACUACUAAAGCUUAUUUAUUUAAAGCUGAUAUGGUUGGCCUUACUUCAAAACCCUGACUGUGGGCUAAACCUCCCAACAGCAGUUUAUGGUAUGGGAAAAAGGCACUGACGGUGCAUCAUCAAGGUUGUGUGUAGGUCACGGUCUACUUGAUGGAUAGCAGGUAGGUUACGGUCUACUUGAUAGAUCGCAGGUAGGUCACGGUCUACUUGAUAGAUCGCAGGUAGGUCACGGUCUAUUUAAUAGAUCGCAGGUAAGGAAAGGUCUAUUUGAUUAACUGCACGUCAGUAUGAAAACGCCAUACCGUACUGUAGACUGAGGCUUGCAGCGAAUGCUUUUGGCUUUAGCCGCAUAAUGCUCAAAUCAUUAGAUCAUUUUAUGGUCUACUUUAAUUGAUUCAAUUUGCUGGCUUCUUAUUCGCUUAGGUUGUUGGGAUGAAGGCUUUAAAUAUUCCGUCUUGAACACGGACCAAGGAGUUCAACAUGAGUGCAAGUAUUUGGGUGCCAAAUCCAUAUGCGAAAUGAAAGUGAAUUAGUAUGAAUCCCUUGAGGAGGCAAUACAGCCCGGCAUUGAAGUUUUAUACGGAAGUGACCGAGGUAAAGCAUUCAUGAUGAGACCCGAAAGAUGGUGAACUAUGCCUGGAUAGGGUCAAGCCAGACUAGAGUUUGGUGGAAGCUCGUAGCGAUUUUGACAUGCAAAUCAAUCGUCAAAUCUGGGUAUAGGGGCGAAAGACCAAUCGAACCAUCUGAUAGCUGGUUCCUGCCGAAAUUUCCCUCAGGAUAGCGGAAACUCAUAGGCAGUUUUAUGCGGUAAAGCGAACAAAUUUAGCUCUGAACACUCCGUGUUUAACCUAUCUUUCUGCCCUUUAAUCCAUAAGACAGCUUUCUUUCGUAAUUGAAGUUGGUUUCGAAUGCUGAGUUUCUAGUGAGCCGUUUCUGGUAAACAGAACUGGUAAUGCGGGAUGAACCGAACGCAAAGUUAAGGUGCCCAAAUACAUGCUCAAAGAUAUCACAAAAGGCGUUAGUUUGUCUUGACAGCAGGACGGUAGCCAUAGAAGUUGGAACCCGCUAAGAAGUGUGUAACAACUUACCUGCCAAAUGAAUUGGCCCUGAAAAUGGAUGGCGCUUAAGCAUGUUACCGAUACUUUGCCAUCAUGGUAUAAGCAAAACCAUGAUGAGUAGGCAGGCGUGGAGGUUUUUUAAACUGUUAAGAAGCCUUGGGUGUAAACCUGGGUGAAACAGCCUCUAGUGCAGAUCUUGGUGGUAGUAGCAAAUAUUCAAAUGAAAACUUUGAAGACUGAAGUGGGGAAAGGUUCCUAGGCAACAGCAUUUGACCUAGGGUUAGUCGAUCCUAAGACAUAGGGAAACUCUGUUACGUACUUUGCCAAUUCAUUUGGCUACCUAUCGAAAGGGAAACCGGUUAAUAUUCCGGUACCUGAAUGCAGAUUUUAUGCGGUAACGCAAAUGAAUUUGGGGACACCAGUAUGGACCCUGGGAAGAAACUUCUUUUCUUUUUAACAGUCGCUUUGACCAUGGAAAACAGUUUAGCUGCCGAAAUGGUGAAAACCCUGGUAGAGUACAGCACUUGUGUUGUAUCCGGUGCAUUCAUAAUGGUCCUUGAAAACCCAAAGGAAAGAAUAAGUUUUGCAUCAGGUCGUACUCAUAACCGCAGCAGGUCUCCAAGGUUAAAAGCCUCUAGUUGAUAGAACAAAGUAGAUAAGGGAAGUAGGCAAAUUGGAUCCGUAACUUCGGGAUAAGGAUUGGCUCUAAGGGUUGAGAAAGUUUGGGCCUUUGGUACAGCCUUCGACUAGAUCUGAUUGUUUAAGCCUUGGGGGUAGUGGCAGCUAGGUGGGAGCUGGUAGGAGUUUGGUACAGUGCGCAGCUAAGUGGGAGUCGGUGGAAGGUUGAUAUAGUGCGCACCUAGGAAGGAUCUGUUGGGAUGUUGGUACAAUGCGCAGGUAGAAAUGAUUGGUUUGGAAUUUAUGUGAUUGGGGCAUUAUGGCUUAAACUUUCUGACUAGACUUGGGUAAAGGUCAUUGGAAUCCGGCUUGCCACAAACAACCAACUUAGAACUGGCACGGACAAGGGGAAUCCGACUGUUUAAUUAAAACAUAGCAUUGCGAUGGCCAGAAAGUGGUGUUGAUGCAAUGUGAUUCCUGCCCAGUGCUCUGAAUGUCAAAGUGAAGAAAUUCAACCAAGCGCGGGUAAACGGCGGGAGUAACUAUGACUCUCUUAAGGUAGCCAAAAUGCUUUGCCAACCAUGGCAUGCAUUGAUUGGAUUAACGAGAUUCCCACUGUCCCUAUCUACUAUCUAGCGAAACCACAGCCAAGAGAAGGGCUUGGCAUAAUCAGCGGGGAAAGAAGACCCUGUCGAGCUUGACUCUAGCUUGACAUUGUAGAAAGACGCGGGAGAUAAGAGCCUAAGUGGGAGCUAGCAUGAUAUGUUAUGUGUUAGCGAAGGUGAGACACCACUUCUUCUGCAGCCUUUCUACUUAGGUAAUAAAGUGGGAAUACUUUUCAAGUAUUAAGUGCACAAUUGUUGCAUGACCCAUGUUAUCGACAGUGUCAGGUGGGGAGUUUUGCUGGGGCGGCGCAUCUGCGAAAUAGUAAGCAGAUGUCCUAAGGGAGACUCAGUGAGGACAGAAACCUCACGUAGAACAAAAGGGUAAAAGUCUCCUUGAUUUUGAUUUUCAAUGUGAAUACAAACCAUGAAAGUGUGGCCUAUCGAUCCUCUAUGUCCAAAAGGUAUUUGGCUAGAGUGUCAGAAAAGUUACCGCAGGGACAACUGGCUUGUGGCAGCCGAGCGGCAUAGCGACGUUGCUUUUGUGAUUUUGAUAUCGGCUCUUCCUAUCAUACCGAAGAAGCAUUCGGUAAGCGUUGGAUUGUUCACCCACUAACAGGGAACGUGUGCUGGUAUUAGACCGUCGUGAGAUAGGUCGUUUUAUACCUACUGAUGAUACUGUAUCGCAACAGCAAUUGAAGUUAGUACGAGAGGAACUCUUCAGUCAGAUCACUGGUACUGCAGUUGGUCGAGCGGCCAAUGCUGCAAAGCUACAUCUGUUGGAUAAUGGCUGAACGACUCUAAGCCAGAAUCCAGUCUAGAAACGAUGCAACCUACGUUUAAGCAAAAAGUACAAAUAGGCUUUUUUGCUGUUAACUAUACUUUCACUUGU